GUUGUAGCUCAGUGGUAAGAGUGCUUGCCUAGGAUGGUAAGGCCCUGGGUUCGAUCCUCAGCACCACA
RNAcentral lists this transfer RNA (68 nucleotides) under Marmota monax (woodchuck). RNAcentral describes it as "tRNA.Pro". Lineage: Eukaryota; Metazoa; Chordata; Mammalia; Rodentia; Sciuridae. The record is from RNAcentral.